GCAACUAAAAAAGCGAAGGAAAAGUUUCUAAAUAGCGAAUAUUCGUUUAUUUCCUGCAUUCGUUGCCUUGGAUUUCGCAGGAGUCAAAGGCAGAGGUUCGAAAUGAAAGCAUACACCAGGCUUGUGCACGGUGAAUCUCCAGGUGUACAUGUGGCACCGUGGCGCUCUUGAGGACGCAUUCCAGCCUGUGAUGAGGUGAAAGGUCCAACGCAAGUGACAGAGCACUUAAACAGCCUUUCUUCUGCUGCCUCCCGCAAUUAAUGUUAUUGAAGGAUUGAAAUGAUGCUAAUAGUUAGGCAGAAAGCCUCUGGCAGUGUGGAAGCACAGUUUGCCAGUGCAUUUUAAUAAUCACGUUUAUAAAAAAGAGUCAAGUUAAGGAGAAUUCCCUGCAGUGAUUUCAAAUGAGUAGGCCAGGCAGCUGAGCUCCUGCAGCAUUUGAAGAGGCGACCCACUCUGCCCACUUUAAAGACUCGGUUCAGACCACCUGGCAUCCCCGCAGCUGACCCACAUCACCCCAUCAAACCAGUCCCUGGAUAGAGGAUUUUAUUUUAUUUUUUUUUUUAAGCUUGCUGUUCCUGUUGUGUUUAUUUUGGUGUAAUCUGCAGUCAAUAUAAUUAGCUUUAUAUAUAUUCAAAAGGGAGUAUAGAAGUCUAUGUCCUCAUUUUGAUGAGACUUAGUAUACAGUAUGUUUUGACAAUAUUGAAUGCUAAUGAGUUAUACAAAGUAUGACAUGCAGAUAGAUAGAUAGAUAGAUAGCAUUUAUUUCAUUUCAUUGCUUUACAGCGCAUUUGUGCGUCAUAGGUCAUAUUUCCAUGUUGU
This is a long non-coding RNA of Labeo rohita (rohu), 819 nucleotides long. RefSeq lists it as uncharacterized. Lineage: Eukaryota; Metazoa; Chordata; Actinopteri; Cypriniformes; Cyprinidae. The transcript has 3 exons. The record is from RefSeq and is a predicted model, not a curated record.